Molecule: ribosomal RNA, 300 nt
Filed under: uncultured bacterium
Lineage: Bacteria
Description: bacterial SSU rRNA
Rfam family: Bacterial small subunit ribosomal RNA
Source: RNAcentral
UCGUGUCGUGAGAUGUUCGGUUAAGUCCGGCAACGAGCGCAACCCACAUCCCUAGUUGCCAGCAGUUCGGCUGGGCACUCUAUGGAAACUGCCCGUGAUAAGCGGGAGGAAGGUGUGGAUGACGUCAAGUCCUCAUGGCCCUUACGGGUUGGGCUACACACGUGCUACAAUGGUAGUGACAAUGGGUUAAUCCCAAAAAGCUAUCUCAGUUCGGAUUGUCGUCUGCAACUCGACCCCAUGAAGUCGGAAUCGCUAGUAAUCGUGAAUCAGAAUGUCACGGUGAAUACGUUCCCGGGCCUU